Molecule: long non-coding RNA, 680 nt
Organism: Cebus imitator (Panamanian white-faced capuchin)
Lineage: Eukaryota; Metazoa; Chordata; Mammalia; Primates; Cebidae
Exons: 2
Source: RefSeq, a predicted model, not a curated record
AGCAUACUUAGGGUGUGGCGGGAGAGAUUUAUGACUUUUCACGAAAGUGUACAACACUCUAGACAAGCAUUAACAUAUUGCGUUUUAAAUUAUUCUUGAGACUUUUUUGAAAGCCGCCUGCUUUAAUCCUCUUGUCAGGGAGCUGCCGUGUUAAAAAAUGAUCGCUGAAGCGGCUUUGCCAGCUUCACAUAAAAAGUGAGGCGGCGAGGGCUCCUCCCAGGAGGAACUCUGGCCGCGGGGGCCGCGUGGCCGGCGGAGGGAGUUUUUGGAGAACAUGGCUGCUGACGAGAGGAGCAUCAUGGGAGGUGUCCGGGGUCAGCCGUCCGGUCUUCCGGCAGACGCUUGAGCGAUCAACAUGGCUGCUCGGCCGAGGUGGCAGCUGCUGUGGGCUGUGAAGAAGACGAAGGGACCCAGACGGGGGACUUGAGAGAGGAGGUUAUGCCAGGUGACCUUUCAGCUUUAAAAUGGAUGAUUCUGGGAUUUCUUCUCCCAUCUGACUUCCUGGACUGUCCUUCCCCUUGUGUACGGGAGCAGCUGAAUUUAUUGAUCCCCUAGAGGCUCUGUCACCCACUUCUUCCUUCCUUCAGUGCACCCCCUCCCCCCACUUUCCUUAGGAGCCCCUUUCUUAGAGGGCUUAUACAAAAUUUAAAAUAAAAUAAAAAAACACCCAGGCAAACGAA